GAUGAACGCUGGCGGCGUGCCUAAUACAUGCAAGUCGAGCGAACAGACGAGGAGCUUGCUCCUCUGACGUUAGCGGCGGACGGGUGAGUAACACGUGGAUAACCUACCUAUAAGACUGGGAUAACUUCGGGAAACCGGAGCUAAUACCGGAUAAUAUAUUGAACCGCAUGGUUCAAUAGUGAAAGACGGUUUUGCUGUCACUUAUAGAUGGAUCCGCGCCGCAUUAGCUAGUUGGUAAGGUAACGGCUUACCAAGGCAACGAUGCGUAGCCGACCUGAGAGGGUGAUCAGCCACACUGGAACCGAGACACGGUCCAGACUCCUACGGGAGGCAGCAGUAGGGAAUCUUCCGCAAUGGGCGAAAGCCUGACGGAGCAACGCCGCGUGAGUGAUGAAGGUCUUCGGAUCGUAAAACUCUGUUAUUAGGGAAGAACAAAUGUGUAAGUAACUAUGCACGUCUUGACGGUACCUAAUCAGAAAGCCACGGCUAACUACGUG
This 497-nucleotide ribosomal RNA is filed under the name uncultured bacterium. Its description in RNAcentral is "partial 16S ribosomal RNA". It matches the Rfam family "Bacterial small subunit ribosomal RNA", at positions 28 to 507 of the family's 1533-position model. The record is from RNAcentral.